Molecule: long non-coding RNA, 1580 nt
Organism: Colossoma macropomum (tambaqui)
Lineage: Eukaryota; Metazoa; Chordata; Actinopteri; Characiformes; Serrasalmidae
Exons: 4
Source: RefSeq, a predicted model, not a curated record
GAAUGCAUUAUGUUUAAUGUUGUGCUGUAAAAAAAAAGUUUUAUUAAUGUAAGAUUGCUAGCUGACCAAACUAAUCAAAAUCAAUUUUGUUAGCAAUACUUUCUUUUGGGCUAAUCUCUUUGUGAGGUGUCUGGAAGGAUCAGAUGUGACCAGAGUAGGCUGUUGCUUUAAACAUUUAAUAAAGAGGCAAACCAGUAACCGAAUACAAAAACAGUCAAAGAUAAGAGAGAGAGAGAGAGAGAGAGAACUGAGAGAAACAAAACACACUGAAUGUAGGCAUGUAUGUUAUUAUAUGUGAUUGUGUGUAUGUGAGUCUGUGUGUGAAGGUGUUUGAGAUUUUGUGUCAUUGCAUGUGAUGUCAGUGUUCGGAUGUAUCAUCAUUUCUCUCCCAGGCUGAGUGAGUGUAAUCUCACAGAGAAAAGCUGUGCAGCUCUGUCCUUAGCUCUCAGUUCAAAUUCCUCCAGUCUGAGAGAACUGAAUCUGAGUGACAAUAAACUGCAGGAUUCAGGAGUGGAGCUGCUCUCUGCUGGACUGAAGAAUCCACACUGUAAACUGGAAAUACUGAGGUUGCGUUACUGUAAUCUUACAGAGAAUAUCAUCAGCUCUCAGCUCAAACUCCUCCAGUCUGAAAGAACUGAACCUCAGUAAAAAUGAACUGCAGGAUUCAGGAGUGAAGCUACUGUCUGCUGGACUAAAGAAUCAACACUGUAAACUGGAGGUACUGAGGCUGGAACUCUGCAGUGUUACACACAAAGGCUGUUUUGCUCUUGCUUCAGCUCUAAAAUUAAACCCCUCCUCUCAUCUGAGAGAGCUGAAUCUGAACUCCAAUAAACCAGGAAAGUCAGGAGGAAAGCUAUUCUCUGGUCUACUGGAGGAUCCACACUGUAAACUGGAGACACUACACAUCUGAACACCAUCCAGCUAAUCUGCUCUCACACACAGAGGGUUGUGAGGAGAGGAUGAAGUCUUAGUUGAAACACACACUCAGUAUAUGGUUCUACAAGGUACUUUGUGUUUGUUUGGGUUCUUAUUGGUCAAACCUGUGAAUAUGGCUGCAACUCAGGACUGUGUGAUCAUCUCAUGACAUCACUUCCUGAACACCUUUAACUGCAACCUCAGAGACCUGUUCAUCAAACUCCUCACAUUGGUGGAUGAUUGGUGAUGAGUAUGUAGAAGAGGGAGGAGAACCAUUUGUCAUGGAAACAACAUGAGCUGAACAUGCAAAACCAGCUGAUAGAGUUUACAAGCAUUAAAAUCAUGAGCUCUACAGCUGGUUCAUAGUAUUGAGCUUAUGUUUUUAAUGUUUAUCAACUUUAAUCUCUGUACAUUACUUUAUAAUCACAGUGACCCUCUUGAACAUCUGAAUUAUAGGCAGAUUAUUCAGAGUGGCCACUUGCAAAGGCCCACAGGAGGCUCUGUGACUCAGUAGGAGAGAUAUUUUGUAAAUAAGUUGUUGUGCUUGGUUAAAAUCUGUGAUAUGUGUGGGUAAUUAGGCAGUGUUAGUGUUUACAAUGAGCAGAGAGUUCAUGGCUAGAGGUGACCUGUCUGCUUCCCGGCCAUUUCAGCAUGCUGAGCACCAC